GAGGACACGCUGGCGGCGUGCUUAACACAUGCAAGUCGAACGGUAAGGCCCUUCGGGUACACGAGUGGCGAACGGGUGAGUAACACGUGGGUGAUCUGCCCUGCACUUCGGGAUAAGCCUGGGAAACUGGGUCUAAUACCGGAUAGGACCAUGGACUUCACGGUUUGUGGUGGAAAGCUUUUGCGGUGUGGGAUGGGCCCGCGGCCUAUCAGCUUGUUGGUGGGGUAAUGGCCUACCAAGGCGACGACGGGUAGCCGGCCUGAGAGGGUGUCCGGCCACACUGGGACUGAGAUACGGCCCAGACUCCUACGGGAGGCAGCAGUGGGAAUAUUGCACAAUGGGCGCAAGCCUGAUGCAGCGACGCCGCGUGAGGGAUGACGGCCUUCGGGUUGUAAACCACUUUCAACAGGGACGAAGCGCAAGUGACGGUACCUAUAGAAGAAGCACCGGCCAACUACGUG
RNAcentral lists this ribosomal RNA (461 nucleotides) under uncultured bacterium. RNAcentral describes it as "bacterial SSU rRNA". It matches the Rfam family "Bacterial small subunit ribosomal RNA", at positions 33 to 507 of the family's 1533-position model. The record is from RNAcentral.